This 862-nucleotide ribosomal RNA is filed under the name uncultured bacterium. Its description in RNAcentral is "bacterial SSU rRNA". It matches the Rfam family "Bacterial small subunit ribosomal RNA", at positions 588 to 1450 of the family's 1533-position model. The record is from RNAcentral.
UNUGGAGUAAAAGGCUAUGGCUCAACCAUAGUGUGCUNUGGAAACUGUCUGACUUGAGUGCAGAAGGGGAGAGUGGAAUUCCAUGUGUAGCGGUGAAAUGCGUAGAUAUAUGGAGGAACACCAGUGGCGAAAGCGGCUCUNUGGUCUGUCACUGACGCUGAGGCUCGAAAGCGUGGGUAGCGAACAGGAUUAGAUACCCUGGUAGUCCACGCCGUAAACGAUGAGUGCUAGGUGUUAGGCCCUUUCCGGGGCUUAGUGCCGGAGCUAACGCAAUAAGCACUCCGCCUGGGGAGUACGACCGCAAGGUUGAAACUCAAAGGAAUUGACGGGGGCCCGCACAAGCGGUGGAGCAUGUGGUUUAAUUCGAAGCAACGCGAAGAACCUUACCAGGUCUUGACAUCCCGAUGCUAUUCUUAGAGAUAGGAAGUUACUUCGGUACAUCGGAGACAGGUGGUGCAUGGUUGUCGUCAGCUCGUGUCGUGAGAUGUUGGGUUAAGUCCCGCAACGAGCGCAACCCUUAUUGUUAGUUGCCAUCAUUAAGUUGGGCACUCUAGCGAGACUGCCGGUAAUAAACCGGAGGAAGGUGGGGAUGACGUCAAAUCAUCAUGCCCCUUAUGACCUGGGCUACACACGUGCUACAAUGGUCGGUACAACGAGUUGCGAGCCGGUGACGGCAAGCUAAUCUCUGAAAGCCGAUCUCAGUUCGGAUUGGAGGCUGCAACUCGCCUCCAUGAAGUCGGAAUCGCUAGUAAUCGCGGAUCAGCACGCCGCGGUGAAUACGUUCCCGGGCCUUGUACACACCGCCCGUCACACCACGAGAGUUUGUAACACCCGAAGUCGGUGAGGUAACCUUUUAGGGGCC